AGCAGGGAUGCAUCACAAAUUCUGGGGCCCCUGACACAGCUCAAGUUCUGGGCCCUUGUGGCCAUCUAUGAGUCUGCCCAGAGAUCCUGCCCCAAGUCCACCCAGAUGGCCCAUCCUGAGCCCACCCACAAGGAUGAAGUGUGUGUGCACUGAACGUGGAGUGUGUAUAGUGGAUGAGAUUGUACUUUUGUGUAGUGGAUGUAGUGUUUGUGUGUA
Molecule: non-coding RNA, 216 nt
Organism: Pelobates cultripes (western spadefoot toad)
Lineage: Eukaryota; Metazoa; Chordata; Amphibia; Anura; Pelobatidae
Source: the annotation of a GenBank genome assembly